GAUGAACGCUGGCGGCGUGCCUAAUACAUGCGAGUCGGGCGAACGGACGAGAAGCUUGCUUCUCUGAUGUUAGCGGCGGACGGGUGAGUAACACGUGGAUAACCUACCUAUAAGACUGGGAUAACUUCGGGAAACCGGAGCUAAUACCGGAUAAUAUUUUGAACCGCAUGGUUCAAAAGUGAAAGACGGUCUUGCUGUCACUUAUAGAUGGAUCCGCGCUGCAUUAGCUAGUUGGUAAGGUAACGGCUUACCAAGGCAACGAUGCAUAGCCGACCUGAGAGGGUGAUCGGCCACACUGGAACUGAGACACGGUCCAGACUCCUACGGGAGGCAGCAGUAGGGAAUCUUCCGCAAUGGGCGAAAGCCUGACGGAGCAACGCCGCGUGAGUGAUGAAGGUCUUCGGAUCGUAAAACUCUGUUAUUAGGGAAGAACAUAUGUGUAAGUAACUGUGCACAUCUUGACGGUACCUAAUCAGAAAGCCACGGCUAACUACGUG
RNAcentral lists this ribosomal RNA (497 nucleotides) under uncultured bacterium. Its description in RNAcentral is "partial 16S ribosomal RNA". It matches the Rfam family "Bacterial small subunit ribosomal RNA", at positions 28 to 507 of the family's 1533-position model. The record is from RNAcentral.